Molecule: long non-coding RNA, 389 nt
Filed under: Homo sapiens (human)
Lineage: Eukaryota; Metazoa; Chordata; Mammalia; Primates; Hominidae
Description: HSALNT0186328
Source: RNAcentral
UUGCAGUGUUUGUUGCAUAACAAAGAAACUCUCUUCUAGGUAGCUGAGAACUCCCAAGAUUCCUUCAGCUGUUUCUACUACCUUUGGACAUGGAAUUUCAACAUAAAAAAGGUUAUCAUGAGAGUGAGCCAAGGAGGAACAACUAGAGGAUGGAGUGGAGGAUCAGACAAAGCUUACCCAAGAAGUAAGAUAAAGGCUGAGAAGCUGAGGCUUGAGAAGACUUUAGGCAGGGUAAUAGUAAAAGAAGGAUCAUUCCUGGGACAAAGAACAUAAUGGUGCAAAGGUCUUUACCUAAGAAGCAUCAGUACAAGUACUAGGGACAGAGGGGGUAGAAGUGAGACAGAGAGUGGCUGGACAAAACAGGGUUCCAUCAAGCCAGGCCUCACUGG